This is a non-coding RNA of Biomphalaria pfeifferi, 1055 nucleotides long. The record is from the annotation of a GenBank genome assembly. NCBI's taxonomy places the organism in Eukaryota, Metazoa, Mollusca, Gastropoda, Planorbidae.
AAAAAAACAACAGAUCAAUGUAUCAACUUAUUUAUUAAAGUUAUUAUGACAAACUUUGUUUCAAGUUUAAAAAACUAUAACAGGUUGGACUAGGGAAUGAAACAAAAGUCUGUUGAGCUGAUUUUCAGCAAAAAGCAAAACAAAACUAACAAUGUCCCUAUCACUUUAACUAAUUGAACUCUUAUCAAAUCUAAUUACUCUGUAUUUAGAUAAUCAAUACCAAAGCUUAAUAAAAUAUGUCACAAUGAUAUUAAAAUUAUUUUUGUCAACUUCAGUUCCAUUUGAUGGCUUAGUCAAUUGUAUUCUUUUAGUUGACUAAUUUUAGUUCAAACCAAUAAAGCUACAAUACUCUAAGAGUGCUCUACAUUUUAAUACAAGCCUUAAGAAGUAAUUUCUGUAUUUAAUUUAGAUAUCAUUUUUUGCUUUUUGUACAAAAUUUUUCUGAAUUCCAUCUAUUUAUUGUAUAUAAUGUUUUUUAAAAUGAAUGCUAUAUUUCUUUUUUAUUUUGUUUUGAAAAAGAAUUGUUAUUUUUUGUUGCUACCAGUUUGAUUUCAAAAGUUCAAUUUUUCUUAAGACACACAUUUUCGAUCAAAGUUUCUUUCAGUUAUAAUUUACAAUCUGAUCAUGAGGAGUUCAAAAUUUCUUAAACACUUAAGCAAUAAAGCAAGAAAUGCACCAAUAGUUGGGAGAAAUAUUUUCUGAUUUACUUAAUUCUCUUUGAUCAAAUAACAUUCUUUUAUAUAUUUAUAACUUGUUCUUGUUCUUAAAAACACUCUGUGAUACAGUUGUCUAUUUUUCAUUUCAAUGGACAAAUGUUUACUUUAUUUUUAACACCAAAAAGUAAUAUCUUGGCUUAAAAAUAAUUUGAAUUAAUUUUUUUUUUAAAAGGAAUUACACUAUUCAUUCAUGAUUGUAAUUAUGUAUUUCUUCAAUUGAAAAAAAAAUGUCUUCUAAAAUAUUUUGAAACCCAAUUUAUUUUCUCAUUCAGAUAGAAAAAAUAUCAUUUCAAAAUACACAUACUUAUAUACAUUUUAUUGUAUAUAUAUAUAUAUAUC